RNAcentral lists this unclassified non-coding RNA (336 nucleotides) under soil metagenome. Its description in RNAcentral is "partial contains 5.8S ribosomal RNA, internal transcribed spacer 2, and large subunit ribosomal RNA". The stretch from base 1 to 120 matches the Rfam family "5.8S ribosomal RNA", at positions 35 to 154 of the family's 154-position model. The record is from RNAcentral.
GAUGAAGAACGCAGCGAAAUGCGAUAAGUAGUGUGAAUUGCAGAAUUCAGUGAAUCAUCGAAUCUUUGAACGCACAUUGCGCCCCUUGGUAUUUCAUGGGGCAUGCCUGUUCGAGCGUCAUUUGUACCUUCAAGCUUUGCUUGGUGUUGGGUGUUUGUCUCGCCUUUGCGUGUAGACUCGCCUUAAAAUAAUUGGCAGCCGGCGUAUUGAUUUCGGAGCGCAGUACAUCUCGCGCUUUGCACUCAUAACGACAGCGUCCAAAAGUACAUUUUACACUCUUGACCUCGGAUCAGGUAGGGAUACCCGCUGAACUUAAGCAUAUCAAUAAGCGGAGGA